GAGUUUCAGUCAGGAAACUGUUUCCUUGUGUUUAUGGCUUGCUGUGCCCACUAAAUAAGUAUUUACAUGAAAGUUGUGUAAUUUCUCUUCCCUGCAAGGACAGUUUGGUUUGGAGUCAGACUGGAUGAGAGGAGAGAGAUUUCCUUCCUUUUCCUAGACUACUCUGGCAAGUCUGCCCAAAAGACAUUAAAUGUUGGGAAACCGCAAAAAAGAAAUGGCGUUUUUUUUAAGACAUGAAUAUGAUUUUGUGGGAAAAAAAUGAAGGCUAAUCUUCAUGUGUAGUAGAAAGUUUGUAGAAGAAUAUAGAGCAAUUACAAUGCACACUGAACAUGUCCUCUGCUUUUAUUUUUAAAGAGAUUGCAAAUCUCUCAAAUGUGAAACCCGAGACUGCAGGAACUGGGCCUUUCCUCUUACUGUCUCCAGAUGUGAGCUCGCACCCACACCCUGUGCAGCUGGGAGCCCCAGCGGUGCACCCUGUGGCCACGGGGCUGGUGGAGAGUGGGGGGAUCAGCCAUUCUAAAGCACAACCUGAGCAGUCUGCUGAAGGCGUGAAGGGAAACCCCUCCUUUGCUGUCACAUGCUGAGCCUUGGAGCAUCCCCCUGAGUGGAUGCAAGAGCUUUAAUUUGGUGGAGGAAGCUGGAACUCUGCUGCAACUGCAACAACCCAGCAAUGAGCUCUGUCACAACAGCCCUCCCCAACUGCUGCCGUCCUGGAGGCCAAGGGACAGCAAGCAAUGGAAUCUGAUACAAAGAGGGGUGAGACUAUGUGAGCAGCAAAGGGAAAAAAAAUCCAAACAAAAAACCAGUUCGGGUGUUGAGAAUUUAGUCAAGAAUUGGGGGUUGGAACUAGAUGAUUUUUAAGGUCCCUUCCAACCCAAACCAUUCCAUUUUAAAGGUCUUUUCCAACUUAGUUGAUUCUAUGAGAAACACUUAUUGUUGAGCUUUUAAUUUAUUUUUUUUUUAAUUUGGUCUUCAGAAGAUAAACUUUCGGGUGUAAAUAUGGACACUGGUUUAAGCCCAUUUAAUGGAGAUUACUCUUUUAGUAGGAGUAAAUAUCAUGCUAAUCAAUCCUGGUAGGUUAGACAGAUGUCUUAACAGAACAUGCGUGCACACUGCCUGAUGCCUGUGUAGAUGCUGAGAUGCAGCAGUUUCAAUGCCUUUGCAUCCCCGUGCAUGAAAGUCUGGUAUUGAUGAUUUUGGGAGGGGCUGAUUUUUUACAUUUUUAGGGUCAGUUUUCUGAGUUUCUUUGUCUCCAUAAAAUUUCACAGACUGAUGAAAGUU
This 1281-nucleotide long non-coding RNA is filed under the name Strigops habroptila (Kakapo). RNAcentral describes it as "lncRNA (ENSSHBG00005009412.1)". Lineage: Eukaryota; Metazoa; Chordata; Aves; Psittaciformes; Psittacidae. The record is from RNAcentral.